GUUUGAUUCUGGCUCAGAGUGAACGCUGGCGGUAGGCCUAACACAUGCAAGUCGAACGGCAGCACAGGAGAGCUUGCUCUCUGGGUGGCGAGUGGCGGACAGGUGAGGAAUACAUCGGAAUCUACUCUGUCGUGGGGGAUAACGUAGGGAAACUUACGCUAAUACCGCAUACGACCCACGGGUGAAAGUGGGGGACCGCAAGGCCUCACGCGAUUGAAUGAGCCGAUGUCGGAUUAGCUAGUUGGCGGGGUAAAGGCCCACCAAGGCGACGAUCCGUAGCUGGUCUGAGAGGAUGAUCAGCCACACUGGAACUGAGACACGGUCCAGACUCCUACGGGAGGCAGCAGUGGGGAAUAUUGGACAAUGGGCGCAAGCCUGAUCCAGCCAUACCGCGUGGGUGAAGAAGGCCUUCGGGUGGUAAAGCCCUUUUGUUGGGAAAGAAAUCCUGUUGAUUAAUACUCGGCAGGGAUGACGGUACCCAAAGAAUAAGCACCGGCUAACUUCGUGCCAGCAGCCGCGGUAAUACGAAGGGUGCAAGCGUUACUCGGAAUUACUGGGCGUAAAGCGUGCGUAGGUGGUGGUUUAAGUCUGUUGUGAAAGCCCUGGGCUCAACCUGGGAAUUGCAGUGGAUACUGGAUCACUAGAGUGUGGUAGAGGGAUGCGGAAUUUCCGGUGUAGCAGUGAAAUGCGUAGAGAUCGGAAGGAACAUCUGUGGCGAAGGCGGCAUCCUGGGCCAACACUGACACUGAGGCACGAAAGCGUGGGGAGCAAACAGGAUUAGUACCCUGGUAGUCCACGCCCUAAACGAUGCGAACUGGAUGUUGGGCUCACUUGGAAACCCAGUAUCGAAGCUAACGCGUUAAGUUCGCCGCCUGGGGAGUACGGUCGCAAGACUGAAACUCAAAGGAAUUGACGGGGGCCCGCACAAGCGGUGGAGUAUG
This 941-nucleotide ribosomal RNA is filed under the name Pseudoxanthomonas sp. enrichment culture clone R2.F-60. RNAcentral's name for it is "bacterial SSU rRNA". It matches the Rfam family "Bacterial small subunit ribosomal RNA", at positions 11 to 941 of the family's 1533-position model. The record is from RNAcentral. Lineage: Bacteria; Pseudomonadati; Pseudomonadota; Gammaproteobacteria; Lysobacterales; Lysobacteraceae.